This is a non-coding RNA of Nothobranchius furzeri (turquoise killifish), 3017 nucleotides long. Lineage: Eukaryota; Metazoa; Chordata; Actinopteri; Cyprinodontiformes; Nothobranchiidae. The record is from RefSeq and is a predicted model, not a curated record.
UUCAGUAUGUUUACAUUCCAGGAGAAGAGACAGAAGAACAGAAGAAGAACGCUUUUCAUUGAUUAAUCAAAGUACUUUAUUUGUGAUAAGCUAAUCAAAGCAUUUGUUGAUCAUUAAUAAUCAGGUGAAUGAUCUGUGAAAUAAAGAUGUCAUGAGUUAUGUGUUUAAAUGAAUAAACAGGACUGCACCAGACAGACUGAUAUACAUUACCAUGGAAACGCAUGACACAUUAUUCUCAACCAAUCAGAACUUUCGUCUGUCGUAGAGAGAAUCUGGGAUGUUUACUUAAUGUGUCCAAUUCGGUUUACUAAGAUUGGUAAACAAUUAGGAGAUAUAAAAGAAGGCAACGCCAUUUUAUAUUCAGUUCCACGUUAAGUGUUCCAUGUUAACAUCAGCUCUGUUCGAUCCGAGCUCCCAAGGAGUUACAUCAUACUCUCAACAUUGUUUUCAACCAGCUCUCAAUCCAUCACCGCAAAGAGGAGUACAGGCUGGCCAGCUGUAUUUCCUAUUUUAAGCUGAGAACUGUCAAGCUGGAGAUUUCCGUCGUUUGAAUCCACGAGACGACAUUCCUUCAAAAUAAGAGUGAACUUGCUGACGCCUGCCGACUACUACCGGAGCUAUCCUCAGACGGUCUUUGUAGUGCUGCGACCGCUGUUCCACCAGCUCCAGUACAACCGAGGUCUUAGGACCUGGCAAUUCCUGAUCUACACGGGAGACUCCAUCUACGGUACGUGGUCACGGCAGUAUGGCGGCUCAUGUCAUCAGCUUCUGAAGCCUCGUGGUAGCCUUGUCAUAACAAACCAGAUUCGCUACGUCAGCCUAGAGAUUCUGAACAAAACACACACACACACACCAACACGAAACAUCUAAAUCCAUAUGCAUUCAUCAUUGAGAUAGUCCUGGUAGAUUGUAAGAAUUUAUAAUUAUAGAAAUUAAAGAUUCUUAAACGAUCCCAACUCUCUCUCUUUUCUUGUCUCUCAGUCAAUACAGAGUGUUUAAGUAAACUCCCUGAUGAUAAAAACAACCACUUCUGAUUGAUUACUUAGAUCUAAUUACAGUGUAUAAAUAUACAAAAUCAGAUAAUUAAAUUAUCUAAUUACAGUGUAUAAAUAUACAACUUCAAAUCACUACAUUUUGGCGAGCUUAGCCUGAUAUCUGCACAGCCAAUUUUGAGACAUAUUUGGGAUUUUUGUUCAGUGUGAGUUCAGAGAAAGGAAAAGGCGAGCCUUUCCUCCUUCAGCUUAGAGACAGCUUUUAUCUUGAAGGGGGGUGCACAUUCAUCACCCUCCACAGGAGGCGCUGUUUCAUCAAAACACCUUAAAGCUGACGUGGCGAGCGGCCAUCUUGAGGCCUACAUGUGAAGGUAUACUUUUCCUGUCUUGCUCGUGAGGAUCCUGCUUCCUGGGGGUGGAUCCGUAUCUCGUCAUCUGCAUCGACUACUCCUGGGUGGUGCUCCGGCUCGUUGGCCUUGGACGACCAGGGUUCCGGCAUGGCUGCUGGGACACCGCAUUCGUUGGGAUUACUGUCUACUACUCUUCCCUUUUUGUGGAUUACGAUAAGUACUGUUGCAAAGUUCAAUUUUUAUUUGGAAUAUUACCCUGCCAGUGGAUACAAAGAUCAAUCUUAUAUUUGGAAUAUUACCCUGUCAGUGGAAACAUAGUUCAAUUUGCUAUUUGGAAUAAUUACCUGCUCGUGGAUAUACACAAGAUUUGCUCCUGCUUUGCAUUUUUACCGUGAGGAUAUACAGCUGCUGUUGCUUCAAUUGUGGCUUCUGUGGGGAAUAGUUAAUAACCUGCUGACUUGUGUUCUUCCUGAGGAGUGUGCGGGAAUGUUCUUCAGCGUGGGGUUCGUACCUCACCACAGUUGGCUUUUCCCGUGGGAUCACAUCCUGUUCGGUUGUCAAGAUUCUUCAUAACUUGGGUUUGUUCAACGACCAAGUGGUCUCUUGCAGGACCACAUUGACCUUGAAAAGGGGGGAUGUGUAGCGUUAUGAAGCUUAUAAUGGUCUGCCCUUAACAGCUGCCCCUUCACACAGUAACAUCACCAAGGUCGGACGCUUGGUUCAGUAUGUUUACAUUCCAGGAGAAGAGACAGAAGAACAGAAGAAGAACGCUUUUCAUUGAUUAAUCAAAGUACUUUAUUUGUGAUAAGCUAAUCAAAGCAUUUGUUGAUCAUUAAUAAUCAGGUGAAUGAUCUGUGAAAUAAAGAUGUCAUGAGUUAUGUGUUUAAAUGAAUAAACAGGACUGCACCAGACAGACUGAUAUACAUUACCAUGGAAACGCAUGACAUAUUAUUCUCAACUAAUCAGAACUUUCGUCUGUCGUAGAGAGAAUCUGGGAUGUUUACUUAAUGUGUCCAAUCCGGUUUACUAAGAUUGGUAAACAAUUAGGAGAUAUAAAAGAAGGCAACGCCAUUUUAUAUUCAGUUCCACGUUAAGUGUUCCACGUUAACAUCAGCUCUGUUCGAUCCGAGCUCCCAAGGAGUUACAUCAUACUCUCAACAUUGUUUUCAACCAGCUCUCAAUCCAUCACCGCAAAGAGGAGUACAGGCUGGCCAGCUGUAUUUCCUAUUUUAAGCUGAGAACUGUCAAGCUGGAGAUUUCCGUCGUUUGAAUCAACGAGACGACAUUCCUUCAAAAUAAGAGUGAACUUGCUGACGCCUGCCGACUACUACCGGAGCUAUCCUCAGACGGGCUUUGUAGUGCUGCGACCGCUGUUCCACCAGCUCCAGUACAACCGAGGUCUUAGGACCUGGCAAUUCCUGAUCUACACGGGAGACUCCAUCUACGGUACGUGGUCACGGCAGUAUGGCGGCUCAUGUCAUCAGCUUCUGAAGCCUCGUGGUAGCCUAGUCAUAACAAACCAGAUUCGCUACGUCAGCCUAGAGAUUCUGAACAAAACACACACACACACACCAACACGAAACAUCUAAAUCCAUAUGCAUUCAUCAUUGAGAUAGUCCUGGUAGAUUGUAAGAAUUUAUAAUUAUAGAAAUUAAAGAUUCUUAAACGAUCCCAA